CUUUCAAUAUUUUUAUGUUAUUCUAUACAUUUAGUUUUAUUCUACUGCUUUUGUUUGAUUGUCUUCUUCGCACUUAUCUCCUUCUUUAAUCUGCCAUCAUUAAUGGCACUCCAAUAUGCUUUUUGAGUUUCUCUCUCCUUUUUUUUCCCUUUCCCCAUCUUAAUUGACUGAUUUAGGGUAUUAUAAUCCUUAAUUUUUAUCAAAUUUUCUCUCUUCUGUUCUCGUUUGGGGAUAUCUUUUUUUUUUUUUUUUUUUUUUUAACAAUUGUGAAGUUUUAAUCCCGGAGUACCGUGAGCAUUGUACUCCGGGAGUACAAUAGAAAUUGCGGACAAACAAGGCUUGUGUUGCCAACAAAUGAAUCUGUAGUUCUUCUUCUUCCAAACGUCCUCUUGAUCUCCCACUUCCUGCUUUCAAAGGUUUAAAGGGUUCGGAAGCGUCAUCGUCGAUGGAGGAUAAGUCUAACCCACCUGAGGUUGGAUCCGCUGAAUCAAGGAAUCCACCUGAGGUUGGAUCCGUUGAAUCGCUGCUUAAUUUCGCCGGCUUGCCAUCCACGGUCACCACUUUGCACUAUCAAACUCCGACAGACCGAGGAAUGGAAGAAUAAAUAGUCGCUGAACGAGGGUGAAGAUUCUUGGAAAAGCUGAGUCCUUGAAUCCCAAAGGAAGUAUCAAGGACAGGAUUGCUGUUAAAAUCACAGGAGAGGUAAUUUAAGCUGAUAUCAUGCUGUUAUAUUGUGAUUCGUGUGGAUUUGAAUCCUGUAUUUUGAAAGUUCAAAUAUUGGCAAAAUCCAUGAGUAUCUCAAAAAUUAUGUGUGUACUCUACAUGCUAUUGCUGGGUUAAGAUUAAGUAUAAUCGCCCCCCUAUAUCCUUGUCUGGAUAACAGCAACCAUUUAAGUUUGCGUUUAGGCCUAAGAUUUAUAAGUUCCUAUAAUAGAUGAAGUAUCCUGCAACAUUAUUUACAUUACUUCAAUUAUUUUCAAUAGGUAACUGCAUUAGGUCGUGUGGUGAUAAGGUCAUAAGGAUACCUUAGCUUAAGUUAUUUGACCAACAACUAGAGCUUAUUUGGUUGUCUUUUCAUUGGGCUUUAUUGUCAUGAUUAAGAACAUUAGAUUUCAUAUUUCAUUUGUGCAGCUAGAAACCCUUGAAUUUUAUUACAUACUUCGUAUGUGUUUUUGGAGCUUCACCUGACACAUAAUAAUAUAAGAUGGUCAAAUGAGGUUUUCCUUAAGGUUUUCCCCCGCAUUUUUCCUUGUCAAGUUCUUAUAAUGAUCUUCCUCUGAGUAACAUGUUACGAAAAUACAUCACUAUUUUGAAGCUUCUAUACUCUCUAUCCUUGAUAAUAGUACACAUUUGAUAUGAGGUCACACAUUUGAUAUGAGGUCAAUUACCUUGAACUGGGUUAUUAUCCCGUAAGUAUCCAUCACUAAUUUGAGUUUUACAUUUCAACCAUUAAGGUAAUGUGGGUAGAUCCAAAAUUUAACGGUUUAAGUAGUUUGUGGCCUGGUAUGUUGAGAGGUGUGAAUUUGAAAUGUUCCGAUUGUUCCCCUGCUUGCCUAUCCUUUUGUGCUAUUUUAUUUUGUCAGCUUGUUUCGUCUUAUAUAGAAAUUCUCCAGAAUUUUUUCAUUCUUUUGGAGCUCUCAAGAAUGAUUCAACAUCUGAUCAUUUAUUAAUUUUUUCAUUAUAUGUGACACUUUCCCUGGCCAAGCUGCCUGUGUGAGAUUUUCUUCCCAGGGAUCUCCAGCUGCAUCUGCUGCUCCUGCUGAGGAAAACAAGGAAGCAACGGCUGAAGAUGAUGACGAUGAUAUGGAUCUCUUUGGUGAUGAAACCGAGGAAGAGAAGAAGGCUGCAGAUGAGAGAGAGACAGAUAAGAAGGCAUCUGAAAAGAAGAAAGAUACUAUUACAUAUUCCAUGACAUAUACAUACAGGAAGCUUCUGGGAAUUCUCUUCUAUUGGUGCCAUUGAAGGAAUCAACGCGAUCAAUAAGAAAGAACUCAUCACUCAGAGCAAGAGCUUGUAGAUUAAGACAAGGAUGACGAUAGUUGUGAUGGGGGUUACAUGGACAACGCGUUCAAGUGGGUCAUAAACAAUGGUGGUAUUGGUGGUGAAGCUAAUUACCCUUACAGUGGAAGUGGUGCUACCUGUACUACCAAGUACCAACAAGGUCCUACUCAGUUUUCUUCAUGUUCAUGAGAUGUUAAUGUCAAUGAUGUGAGUUUUUUGCUAGCAAGCUACAUUACUCAAACUUGGGUACCCAUGUCAGACAUGAGUAUCCAAGGGUUAGCUCGCUAUAUAAUUAGAAGUUUGUAGGAUAUUGGUCCCAAAUGAAAAAAGAGAAAAAUAUAGAGGGAUGGGGUCUAGAGUCUAAAGUAUAAGGUCUAAGGGAGAGUAGGAAGAGACAUGCCGGGGAAGAGAGUAGGUUUGGUGAACUGGUGCAGGGACCCAGACAGCCUUUCUUUGAUUGGGUUAUGCAGUGUGUAAAGCCAUUGAGCGAGGAAGAUAAGAAAUGGGUUAUGGUAAUUUCCCAAGCUACUUGGGGAGCUCGAAACCGUGGGGUUUUUUAGAAUGAUUGGACUGAUCCAAAGGAGAUUGUUCAAUUUAUAUGCUUGGUUUAAGCUGGUUUGGUUUGGUUUAAGAUGGCUACAAAAGGUUAAGCCUGUCAUCCAAGAAUGCAUUGAGAAGUACUCGAAUGAGAAGUAAAUGAGAAGUUAAAAGGUCCUUUUUCAUUGAGAAGUACCCAAGUGAAAACUUGGGUUAAGCCUGUAUAUUGUGGAGCUUAAGAAGUAAAUGAGAAGUUGAGAGGUUUUUUUUUUUUUUUUUGACAAAAUGAGAAGUAAAUGAGAAGUUGAGAGUGGAUUUUACAGCAGAAUCAAGAACAACAUGGGUACGGGAAACACCAUACUUGAAGAACUUAACAGGGGUGCCAGAAAACAGGAACUUUGAAUUAGUCUAUAUAUAUGCACGGUUUAAGCUGGUUUGGUUUACUUGCAGUGGAAAGUUUAAUUUGGUGAUGGGAGAUGAGAAAUCAACAAUAAUUGUGAUGUAGAAUAAUUAUUAAAUUAUGGGUAGAGAGAGAGCUUUUCAUACCAGGGGAGUAGUGAAUAUUGUUCGAUCUAUGUAAAUUUAGUUUAGCUUUCUUAAUUAAUUUAAUAAUUUUCUCAUAUGCACUAAAUUUUCUGCAAACAAAAGGGUAAAUUGCAUAAUGGAGCAUUAUCAGCCACAACUAAUCACCAUCAUGGAAGAGAAGAAGACAAGACUAAGCUGGAUUCUCAUUCAUACUGUUGUAUACUUUUAUAAUGCAUUUUAAUGAUUGAGAUUUUGUGUUAUUUCUUGUGCAAUGAAUUUGAGUUAAGGUGUCAUAACUAUGAUGAAAGCAUAUUAAUCUUGACCGAAGGGGACCAGUGUCUCUACUCUUACACCACAUGGAGGAGCUGCAUGUAGUGACAUGCAAGGGAUGAGGGAUGUUGUGAACGGUGGGAGUUCAUAGUAUUCUACCUAUUCAUAGAGUGAUCGUAUUUAUUCGUAUGAUAGAUACUGGAUAUGUACUCUCUUUUUAUUCUAUAUAUAGUUAAUAAAGAAGGGUGACUUUGGUUUCUUACA
Molecule: long non-coding RNA, 3597 nt
Organism: Chenopodium quinoa (quinoa)
Lineage: Eukaryota; Viridiplantae; Streptophyta; Magnoliopsida; Caryophyllales; Amaranthaceae
Exons: 6
Source: RefSeq, a predicted model, not a curated record